GUAAUCACUACUGUCAGAGCAGUCCCCUCUGAUGCUGAUGAAGAGAUUGCUGCAUCAAUUGCUGAUCUGAUCUCACAACCGGAUGAAGCAUGGAGUCAAAUGUUUUGUCUAUGAGAUUGUUCUAGGAGGAUUUGAUAUGAUCUGCAGUGGAAGAGACAAGAUUGAAACUCCAGAGCAUUUAAGCAAGCAGAAGAAACAUCAUUGAAGCUUGACUUAGACAAGCAUUAAUAUGUUGUUACUUAUGCAAUGAGCCACAUCAAGUGCAGUUUCUAUUCAUUAUAAUGUCUAUCAAUAUUGUAUUCUUUGUUUGAGGACUCAGGCUGUGUUGCAAAGCUGUUUGUACCAUAAAAUUGUUCAUUUCCUUGCCUUUGUAUUGAUUAAUAACAGCAACUAGAUAAAUGUGUGGCCUAGCAAAAUGCCACAUGUUGAAGUUAUCAUUUCUUUGAACUUUAAAGUUCACCUGCCAAGGCAACAUGGAGCGGUUGUAAGUUAUUAAUGAAGAGAAUAUGGACGCACUAAUAUAGGUGAGUGAGUAAUGGGGAUACUUUGUCAUGGACAAUGGGAUUUAAAUUGCGAGAACUAUGAUUGGGGCUAGGGGGUUUGGUGUCAUGGUGAAGAAUAAGUUUUUAUUUAAUUUUUUGGUUAUCUUAUAUUCAUUAGCAAGGAAUAGGAUAUUUUCGUUA
Quercus lobata is the source of this 683-nucleotide long non-coding RNA. RefSeq lists it as uncharacterized. The transcript has 3 exons. Lineage: Eukaryota; Viridiplantae; Streptophyta; Magnoliopsida; Fagales; Fagaceae. The record is from RefSeq and is a predicted model, not a curated record.